This is a long non-coding RNA of Lingula anatina, 351 nucleotides long. The record is from RefSeq and is a predicted model, not a curated record. NCBI's taxonomy places the organism in Eukaryota, Metazoa, Brachiopoda, Lingulata, Lingulida, Lingulidae.
GUCAACCUGUUCUUCAGUACUUGGUUAAACUACUGGGUGCAGACUUCGGUGUUCUUUUAAUUCUACUGCGAGAAAUCGAACGAAGCGGACUGCUACACAAUCUUCAGACAAAAUUCUAUUUGAAAGAUGAAGGAAAUUCCGAUUCUGCGGGUGAUGAUCAUCGGUCUAUGUAUGUGGAAGGCGACAGCCGAUAUCACCACCAGGUCCGUCAUGGUACCAGUGGACUCGACGGUAUUGCUUGAUGAGCAUAAUAGAUAUAGGAAUAACGUCGAUCCACCUGCCAACGGCUUGAAGUCGAUGAUUUGGAAUACAACUCUUGCUGCAGCAGCACGGAAUUGGGCUUCCAAUUGC